CAGCUCUGCAGGCUGGGGAGGCCAAGGUUAAGGUGCCCGCAGGCUGGCUGGUGAGGGUCCCGUCUGCUGUUCCGAGGGCACCCCUAGAGGCCACAUCCUCAAGAGGGGAGGAAUGCUGCGUCAUAAGGCAGAAGGAUGAGUCUGCUCUGGGAUCCUCUCCUGAGAUGGGCCUAGGCUGGGCUGCCUGUCCCUAGGCAAGAACAAAGAUCAUUUUAGGGGCAGGUAUGAGGCCUUUGUAAAGCCCUGGAUCUUGCCUCUGAUGCACCACUGGGAGGCAAUAUAGCACAGUGUGAACUAAGUUCAACUCCUGCUUCCUCCACUUCAUUGCUGUGUCUUCAGCAGGUGACUUAACAUCUCUGAGCCGCAAAUUCUUCCUUUGCAAAAGAGACAUACCUACAUCAGAGCACUGUCAUGAGAAGCCCAGUGAGGAAUUAUGGCAAAGACUGAAUGCUGUAUUGGCACGAAGGAAAUGUUGGAGAAACGGCAGCUAUUACUGUCAUCAUUGUGGCUGGCAGAUCCCCCUACUCCUACCUGAGGCUUAGGGCAGUAUUGUUAAGACUAAUUUAGUUCCCAGAAAAGAUG
This 582-nucleotide long non-coding RNA is filed under the name Heterocephalus glaber (naked mole-rat). RNAcentral describes it as "lncRNA (ENSHGLG00100051816.1)". The record is from RNAcentral. Lineage: Eukaryota; Metazoa; Chordata; Mammalia; Rodentia; Bathyergidae.